Molecule: ribosomal RNA, 751 nt
Filed under: Nematoda environmental sample
Lineage: Eukaryota; Metazoa; Nematoda
Description: SSU rRNA
Rfam family: Eukaryotic small subunit ribosomal RNA
Source: RNAcentral
CCUACUUGGAUAACUGUGGUAAUUCUAGAGCUAAUACAUGCACCAAAGCUCUGACCUUGCGGGAAGAGUGCAUUUAUUAGAACAAAACCAAGCGGCUUCGGUCGUUUUUUGUUGACUCAGAAUAACUAAGCUGAUCGCAUGGUCUUGUACCGGCGACGUGUCUUUCAAGUAUCUGCCUUAUCAACUUUCGAUGGUAGUGUAUCUGACUACCAUGGUUGUGACGGGUAACGGAGGAUAAGGGUUCGACUCCGGAGAAGGGGCCUGAGAAAUGGCCACUACGUCUAAGGAUGGCAGCAGGCGCGCAAAUUACCCACUCUCAGAACGAGGAGGUAGUGACGAAAAAUAACGAGACCGUUCUCUAUGAGGCCGGUCAUCGGAAUGGGUACAAUCUAAACCCUUUAACGAGUAUCUAUGAGAGGGCAAGUCUGGUGCCAGCAGCCGCGGUAAUUCCAGCUCUCAAAAUGCAUAGAAUUAUUGCUGCGGUUAAAAAGCUCGUAGUUGGAUCUGUGCCAGGAGAGCGGUCCACUUUCGGGUGGUACUGCUACGAAUGGCUUUUUGCUGGUUUUCUCGUCGUAGUCUUAACCGAUUGCGGCGGGUGGCUGGCGAUUUUACUUUGAACAAAUCAGAGUGCUUAACACAGGCGUUUCGCUUGAAUGUUCUUGCAUGGAAUAAUAGAAAAGGAUUUCGGUUCUAUUUUAUUGGUUUUAUAGACUGAGAUAAUGGUUAACAGAGACAAACGGGGGCAUUCGUA